Anastrepha ludens (Mexican fruit fly) is the source of this 1877-nucleotide long non-coding RNA. RefSeq lists it as uncharacterized. The record is from RefSeq and is a predicted model, not a curated record. NCBI's taxonomy places the organism in Eukaryota, Metazoa, Arthropoda, Insecta, Diptera, Tephritidae. The transcript is spliced from 4 exons.
CAUUCGCUGCUCGCUGUUGGCUGGCAAGUUGGCUGUUUGACUGCAAGCAAAACAAAGUAAAACUCGUUUGUUGCAAGCGAAACUGGAAGAAUGCGGUUGCGUUGAAAAAUCACAAGAAACAGGCGAAAUAAUAAAAUACUCGAACUCACAAUGCCGCCGUUGUUGAGCAGCGAUCGAGUUGGGAAACUGAAAGCGAUUAUAAUUACAUAGAAGAGGGUCGCUCAUCGCAUAGGCGGCGGUGCGCGUUUCACUGUGUAUCACAUGGGAGUUACUACUGUCUGGCAUUGACGUUAGCAUUAAAAAGCUAGGUGGCUGUCUCGACAAUUGGAUAACUGGCGGCAUACGCUUGAAUCGUUAAGUAGUCAACUGAAGCGCUAGUGGCCCACUAGAUAAAAGAUCGCUCUACUCAAAGCAACAAAAGUCCAAAACAAGUUGUCGCAGUAACGCCUGUGUUGUCGUUGGUACCACGCCACAUUUUGUAAUUACUGCUAUUGUGGUUUUGGGCUUCGGGUCUCUGUCCAGCAAGCACUUUGUCAUUUUUGUGACAAAAAAGUUACAGUUAAAGCACUUGCAGUACAAUUACAACGCUAGCGCCAGAUAUGUUGCAGAACAUUGUUUAGAUACAAACUGUUGCUUAUUCUAACGGACGAGUAAUUCUUCUUCAUUGGUGUUGUUAUUUGUAUAGUUACGGUUCAAGCACUUGCAGUACAAUUACAAUAAAGCAUAAAAUUAGAAAUGCAGUUAAGACGGUAAUAAAGCUUCACAUUCGCGCUGUGAAAGUAUCAAAUAACAAAAAAUGGCAAAGUGUUGCAGUUAUGUUUGUAGUUUUUUUGUAUAUAAGUACCUACAUAUAUAUUUUUUUGUUUUUUUAUUUCUUCUUCUUUGUGUUGGUUUGCAUUAUUGUUAUUAUACUUAAUUUUAAGCUGCUCUAUUCUUAUUACUCUGUUUAACGUCAUUACUCACCUUUGUUUGUUCGUUUGGUCGCUGUUGUGUCACUCACUCAACUCAAAAAGGUAAGCGCAGCAGCAGCGCUUGAAUUGCAAAUGGUGCGUCUGUCAUUUUUCAGCUGCUUUUUCGCAUUAUUUGCUUUUUUCUCCCUAGUCGUGGGUGUCAGAUUGCGCAAAUCGGAGGGUAUCUCCGCGCCUAUUGGAGUGAGCCUACUCUCAAAAAUAUUUACUUGCAAGUUCUCUUUUAUUUAUUUAUUUUCGAGCAAUUCUUGAAUGCUAAAGGUGGCGCACCUUUUAUGGUUCGAACGCUAAGUUAUUAUUCAAAGUGGUUUUGCAAUUGAAUUAUGCGAAGCUGUAUUUCUUUAUUUUCUUAUUUAGCGAAGAAUGCAAUGAGAGUGCCUACAUACAUAUAUUUCAGUGUAGGUGGUGGCUGAGUAUGGUUGUGAAAAGUUAUUUAAAUUUAAAAGAAACAAAUUGCGCGUAGAUGUUGGAGGAAGUAAUAGCAGUAGGAUAUGGAAGAAUUUUAUGCACACAAUUUUUGAAUUUCUUUCAAAAUAACAAAAAAAAAAAACAGAAAAACAGUGAAAUCUAUCAGAAUAUACUCAUAUUUAAGGGAAGAGGGAUAUUUUUCAUGUCACAGCAACGCAGAUAAGUGGAGCAUUCCUUUCGAGUUGUGUACCAGUGCCUUGUUUGCAACACACAGCGAAACUGUACUAUUUAAGAAAUAUGGGUGUAGACAUAUGUAUACUAACAUAUAUUGGAAAUCCUGUAGAGACGGAUCGUGUAGGGAUCAUGCCCAGCACUCAUGCAUAAGCGAGAAUAACAUCUGGGUAAACAUCUGUUACCAGAGAAACAAAUAAAUCUCAAAAACAUAGUAAAAAAUACUAUAAUUUGUGGAGGAAGUUGAGCUUGGGGGGCACAAUAGAUAAU